RNAcentral lists this ribosomal RNA (340 nucleotides) under Spiophanes soederstroemi. RNAcentral describes it as "partial 16S ribosomal RNA". It matches the Rfam family "Bacterial large subunit ribosomal RNA", at positions 1959 to 2517 of the family's 2925-position model. Lineage: Eukaryota; Metazoa; Annelida; Polychaeta; Spionida; Spionidae. The record is from RNAcentral.
GCAUAAUAAUUUGCCUUUUAAUUGGAGGCUGGUAUGAAUGGAUAGACGAGAAUAUGGCUGUCUCUUCCCUAUUAAUAGAAAUUAAUAUUUAAGUGAAGAAGCUUAAAUAGUAUAAAAAGACAAGAAGACCCUGUUGAGCUUUAUAUAUAAAAAGAUAUUAAUAAAUAAAUAAAAGUUAUUUUCUAAGUAUAUUUAGUUGGGGCGACUUGAGAAGAGAGUAAAUCUUCUUUCAUAGCAAAGGUUAUAAGUCUUUUAAUAAAUCCACAAAUGUGAAUAAAUAGAAAGCUACCACAGGGAUAACAGGCUAAUCCUUUUUGAGAGUUCAUAUUGAGAAAGGGGU